AGCAAAGUCAGUGUCAAGCUAUGCUUACUCUGGAUGCUUACCAUAGACUAACCUUGAAGAACUUGGAUGUGAACCACCUUACAAAACUUGAUCUGGAGACCAAAGGAUGAAGAUGAUGCUUGGACUGUAACUUCCAGAAUUUGUCAUUGAAGCAAACAGUUUCAGAAGAUGCAUAAGGAGAACACACAGAACAAUGGUGCAAACUUUCCAGUCAAAAUUGGAAAGCAAAACAGGGAUUAGUUCUCAGCAACAAAAAUGUAAAGAAAUGGAGUGGAACCCUGAGGAGCAGAUGGAGCUGGGAGAGAUGCAUGGAUAUAUCUACAUUGAGAAACCCCUUGGAAUAUCUUUGCUGUUAGGACAGAGUUGUCUUUGCUGUUGUAGGUUGCCAGAUGUUUAGAGGGGAGGCAGGU
This 410-nucleotide long non-coding RNA is filed under the name Calidris pygmaea (Spoon-billed sandpiper). Its description in RNAcentral is "lncRNA (ENSCPGG00000017192.1)". Lineage: Eukaryota; Metazoa; Chordata; Aves; Charadriiformes; Scolopacidae. The record is from RNAcentral.